ACUCCUACGGGAGGCAGCAGUGGGGAAUUUUGCGCAAUGGGGGAAACCCUGACGCAGCAACGCCGCGUGAGUGAUGAAGGCCCUUGGGUCGUAAAGCUCUGACAGAGGGAAAGAAGUGUAGAGUGGCUAAUAUCCACAUUACUUGACGGUACCCUCAAAGGAAGCACCGGCUAACUCCGUGCCAGCAGCCGCGGUAAUACGGGGGGUGCAAGCGUUGUUCGGAUUUAUUGGGCGUAAAGCGCGUGUAGGCGGUUUUGUAAGUCUGAUGUGAAAGCCCUGGGCUCAACCCGGGAAGUGCAUUGGAUACUGUAAGACUUGAAUACGGGAGAGGGCAGUGGAAUUCCUAGUGUAGGAGUGAAAUCCGUAGAUAUUAGGAGGAACACCGGUGGCGAAGGCGGCUGCCUGGACCGAUAUUGACGCUGAGACGCGAAAGCGUGGGUAGCAAACAGGAUUAGAUACCCUGGUAGUCCACGCCGUAAACGAUGAGAACUAGGUGUUGCGGGUA
RNAcentral lists this ribosomal RNA (505 nucleotides) under uncultured Geobacter sp. RNAcentral's name for it is "bacterial SSU rRNA". It matches the Rfam family "Bacterial small subunit ribosomal RNA", at positions 335 to 831 of the family's 1533-position model. Lineage: Bacteria; Pseudomonadati; Thermodesulfobacteriota; Desulfuromonadia; Geobacterales; Geobacteraceae. The record is from RNAcentral.